Cryptomeria japonica (Japanese cedar) is the source of this 1015-nucleotide long non-coding RNA. RefSeq lists it as uncharacterized. Lineage: Eukaryota; Viridiplantae; Streptophyta; Pinopsida; Cupressales; Cupressaceae. The record is from RefSeq and is a predicted model, not a curated record. The transcript has 2 exons.
CCGGCAUGAAAUAAGCCCCAUUUCACUAUAAUUUUAACCGGUUGUUUCCAGUCAGCGGUCUAUUUUAGGGUUAGGGUUUACAGGAUUACAAUCCAAUUGUUUUAGGGGUUUUAGAGAACUGGCUUAACAAUCAACCGAAUUUCUACAUAUAGUUGCAGGUCUGGCUUUAAUUUUAUCAUCGUAAUUGAAGAUGAUGGGCUCUCGUUUUGAUAGAGCUUAAAUGCAGAGACUGUUAGCAUUAUGCUAUUUGAAGGAAGCCUAAGGGGAAGAUUGGUGUGCACCAGGGUGCAAGUUUUGCCCCAUAUUUUGAUGGCAAGCUGUAUACUGUCAGUUGUGCAAGAGCCUAAAAAGCCUCGAGUCAGAAGAAUCUGUUGAAGUGUAUACCAGAAGACUGAGUAGUGUUCAACACUUGAGGAAUUUCUUGUUGCGGUCAGUCAAAGUUAUCAGAGGUGUUAAAGAAGUUGCAAAAAGAUUGUACCUAGCAAACAAAUGGUUUCGGCUAACUAUGAACCUCACAUACAAGUGGGACCAAAACCACUUGUGUGUGAGGUUCAUGGUCAGCCAGAACCAUUUGUGUGUGGAGUUUGUGAGCUAGAAACCAGUUCAAAAUUGUGUGUGGAAGCAACACACUAAAGCUAAAGCCCAGUAAUAUGAAAGACAGAAUUUGAGAAGUGUUUGUUAAUGGGUACCUAACAGGGCCCUAGGCUGGGCCAUCUUUUUCUUGAUUAUGGGGAAUAUCUGAAAAUAAUUAGUAGAAUUAAUUUAUGGGAGGAUGUUAGAAUAAAUUAAUUAUCUUCCAGUUGACCAAUCAUCAUCACCAGCCACAAGCCACAGACCAUAGGGACACCUCCAGCAGCUCAGCAUUAUCUUCAGCACUCCCUCUUUGAUCCUGCUGUUCUUCAUAAAUGUUGCAGUAACUUCCUGCUACAGUAGACACAUAAUUUAUUAUGUAUUUGGCUAUAAAUCGAAUAAAUGGGAAUACAAUCUCAGAGCUCAUUUUAUGAGUUUCUCCUCU